This 328-nucleotide ribosomal RNA is filed under the name uncultured Coprococcus sp. RNAcentral describes it as "partial 16S ribosomal RNA". The record is from RNAcentral. Lineage: Bacteria; Bacillati; Bacillota; Clostridia; Lachnospirales; Lachnospiraceae.
GGAGUCUGGGCCGUGUCUCAGUCCCAAUGUGGCCGUUCACCCUCUCAGGCCGGCUAUGGAUCGUUGCUUUGGUGGGCCGUUACCCCGCCAACUGGCUAAUCCAACGCGGAGCCAUCCUGUACCACCGGAGUUUUUCACACAGGGCCAUGCGGCUCCGUGCGCUUAUGCGGUAUUAGCAGUGAUUUCUCACUGUUAUCCCCCAGUACAGGGCAGGUUCUCCACGCGUUACUCACCCGUCCGCCACUAAUCUCAAACCUCUUUGGCCGAAACCUCCAAGAUAAGAGACCCGUUCGACUUGCAUGUGUUAGGCACGCCGCCAGCGUUCAUC